GGGAUAAUUAAAAAAUAUAUAAGGAAAUAUGACACAAGUAAGGAAUAAGGUGAGAAAUAAAGUUAGUCAAGAACAGAUAUAGCUAAACUUAAGAAGAGCGUCGUUAAUUUAUACCAUAUGCCUGUACAUGUUGGAUCUGAAUACCAAAGAUUACAUAUAAUAUUAUUUCAUGAUAAUAUAUAACAUACACACACAUUAGGAUAAGGAAGAAAAAUUAGCAUUAAAAGAGAUUUAUUAUUUCUUCUUUCCUUUUUUUCCUUUUCCUCCUUUUUUCCCUUUCUUAUCUUUCUUCUUCAUCUGUUUCCGUACAAGAUAUCCACGCCAACACGAUUGUAGCUUUAUGGAAGCAGUAGUUUGCCUCUCGAAUUCCAUUUUUCGUUGUUCUUCAGCUUCCGCGGCCAACCUCCGCUCUUCUAGAAUUUCCAGAUAUUCCUUUUCCAAAACACUAAAAUGGCGCCCUAAGUCAUCCAGAUCUUUUCUCAAAUGGUCUCUUUCAAUCAAAAUUUCAUCGUACUCAUCCUUAAUUUCAAAAAAAUACACUAUCAAUGAAGAAAUGAAAUGCUAGGGGUUUGUGUUACCAUAGUGUUACCAGUGUUGCUAGACAGGGCUGUGAGUACUCGUUACAAUUGUAACACGUGACAGGCUACUUAAUGUUACAUUUGUUGUAUUUUUGGCCUGUAAUCGAGAAUUCCAGCUAUAGAAGAAAUUUCGAUCUAGACAAGAAACGAAAUCC
Paramuricea clavata is the source of this 733-nucleotide non-coding RNA. Lineage: Eukaryota; Metazoa; Cnidaria; Anthozoa; Malacalcyonacea; Plexauridae. The record is from the annotation of a GenBank genome assembly.